This 582-nucleotide ribosomal RNA is filed under the name uncultured bacterium. Its description in RNAcentral is "bacterial SSU rRNA". It matches the Rfam family "Bacterial small subunit ribosomal RNA", at positions 338 to 916 of the family's 1533-position model. The record is from RNAcentral.
CCUACGGGAGGCAGCAGUGGGGAAUUUGACAAUGGGGCAACCCUGAUCCAGCCAUGCCGCGUGCAGGAUGAAGGCCUUCGGGUUGUAAACUGCUUUUGUACGGAACGAAAAGACUCUGGUUAAUACCUGGGGUCCAUGACGGUACCGUAAGAAUAAGCACCGGCUAACUACGUGCCAGCAGCCGCGGUAAUACGUAGGGUGCAAGCGUUAAUCGGAAUUACUGGGCGUAAAGCGUGCGCAGGCGGUGAUGUAAGACAGAGGUGAAAUCCCCGGGCUCAACCUGGGAACUGCCUUUGUGACUGCAUCGCUGGAGUGCGGCAGAGGGGGAUGGAAUUCCGCGUGUAGCAGUGAAAUGCGUAGAUAUGCGGAGGAACACCGAUGGCGAAGGCAAUCCCCUGGGCCUGCACUGACGCUCAUGCACGAAAGCGUGGGGAGCAAACAGGAUUAGAUACCCUGGUAGUCCACGCCCUAAACGAUGUCAACUGGUUGUUGGGUUUUAAUUAACUCAGUAACGAAGCUAACGCGUGAAGUUGACCGCCUGGGGAGUACGGCCGCAAGGUUGAAACUCAAAUGAAUUGACGG